This 1640-nucleotide ribosomal RNA is filed under the name Triticum aestivum (bread wheat). Its description in RNAcentral is "partial small subunit ribosomal RNA". The record is from RNAcentral. Lineage: Eukaryota; Viridiplantae; Streptophyta; Magnoliopsida; Poales; Poaceae.
GGUUUAGGGUUAGGGGGGUGACGGCGUGCCUUGUGGGUGGAGGAGGUGAGGGCACGGGAGGAGGUGGAAGAGGCCACGACGGCGAGCCCGGGGCGGCGUGGUGGAGGAAGGAAGCCGUGGCGGUGAAAUCAGGGGCGGGAUGGUGAGGAAGGAGACCGCGGUACGACCGCGGGACCUGGACGGGCUGGGGAGGGAGGGUGGAAGAAGGAGGAGGGUGGAUGAGAGGUGGAAAGUGAUGGCCACGGCGGGGUCGCGGGCAGGUUGAGGGAGGUAACUGCCUAGGUUGAACGGAGAGGGGGUGUCUCGUGGAGAGCCACUUAGGGCUACGCGUCGAGGGGUUGCCGGGGAUGGAAGGAAACGCGCGGCGGCGAGGCCCAACGUCGGUGGCUCAAGGUCGUUAUUCUCGUGCCUUCGUUGCGCCGGGGAGGUGGGUGCCUAGGCGCGGGAGGACGUGCACCACCGGCUUACCCUACCGGCCGCUCCAGGAGGCACAGUCUCUGCCCUUCCUCACCGAGGGCGCCGAUGGAGACGGUUGGUAGCACCCGCCUAGACGGCCAGGACGCUGGAGGAGACAUCAGCCUGAGCCGCCGGGUGCUGGGGAAGGGGGGAUAAAGGAGAGGACCUACCCUCGUGGCCCGUAGUGGUGGGGGCGACCUAGGCGCUCUAACACCGGCCUUGGCGGCGGUAGUGGGUAGCCUUGACCUAGGACGUCGGGGUAGGAGGGAGGACGACAGUUCGCUGGUAAGUACCCGCUGGAGGAGGGUCGUGGUAGAGCACCGUACUGAAACGGAGAUGGAUGUAGGAGGGCAGGGGUAAUCUCCGGCGCCGCUCCGAGGGACACGACUGACGUAAACCGCACGUCGAGUUAGUUGACCGCGCACGUCAAGUCAUUGGUGUCACGACGGCAGCUGGUAUCGGGUGCCGGUCACGUGAAGGUGGUUGGGUACAAGCACGUCAAGCAAACCGAUACUUUAAAUACACGUCAAGUAAAGAGAGUGCCCCCGUCGAGGGAAAAGAAGAAGAACGAUAAUGUAAAAGAGUGCCCACAUCAAGAGGAUCAACACGUUUAAAACACUAAAAACCAGUUAAAAAGACGUUAAGUCACUUGAAACGUUAACCAGCAUGUUUACAAAAAAACAAAACGAAAUAACAAAAACGUACGUCGAGAAAUCACCAAACGAACGUCGAGUGUCCGUGGACCCCUCAAGUUGACAUAAUAGAUACCGCCAUACACAACACGUGACGUGGGUACGCAUAGCUCCUCGACGUCAAGCCAAAGGUCAGGUCGCUCCACGUCACGGCCGUCAUCGAUGCCCUCGUAUCGUCGUCCACCGCCACACGUUUCCUCCAGCAAACUAGGCAACGAACACCGGAGGCUAAGGAGGUGGCGAUAGACGAGGACUGACGUCCCAGUUUAGCCCUUCUGCUCCUUUGGGUGACGAGUCGCAGUUUAGCCCUUCUACUCCUGUGGGUGACGAGAUGGUGUGCGUUCGAGGGCACGUCAAACACUUCACGCGGUUACUUUAAGUCUCAGACCGACACACACGCGUCAGACCCGUACCUGCCUAUGGCUCAUACGUAUGUACCAAACCCUCGUUUUUGUAGUCGCACCUCAAGUCACAAAAAACGACACCAAGCGA